CUAAUAUGAUAUUAACUUUGUCUUUUUCUAUUUCAUAUAAUGGCCUGAUUGUGUGGCCAACAUAUUCCUCGGCGAGCCGUUGAACGUAUUCCACGUUCUCAGCCACAAUCCUACGGGUUUUGCAAAGGUUGCACUCGUAUAAGGUCGAACAGUCGAAUAACUUGAAACACCAAUAAAAUUCUUGAUCAAUGGUAUAUUGCCUAACGGCAAAACGGCCACUACGGGUGGUUGAUCCUUAGCAACCUGUAAAAAAUAUGGUAAUAAUGCAACUUUCUGAUUGGUACAUAACAUGUUUAUGAAAUGAAUGCCAUGAAAUUUUUACGUUAUAAUACCUUCUCAUUUUGCGUAUAAUGAAAACCUAAGUAAAUGUUGUUUAUUUCAACGUGAAUUUAUUUUUAAGUAACAAGCGUAAGUAAUUAAUGUUAUCGCAGAUUAAAUAUUUUCAAGGUUGCACAGUGCCAGGCAAACAAAAUAUGACUCACAAAGCUAUUUCAGUCGCUUAUGCAAAUUAAAAAUUUACUACAUAAUUACUGAA
This is a long non-coding RNA of Wasmannia auropunctata (little fire ant), 535 nucleotides long. RefSeq lists it as uncharacterized. The transcript has 3 exons. Lineage: Eukaryota; Metazoa; Arthropoda; Insecta; Hymenoptera; Formicidae. The record is from RefSeq and is a predicted model, not a curated record.